UUAAUAUAUAGGCCUUGGGACUUCAUUUGGGGUCAUUUUCUACUGAUUUUAGAGAGAAAGAGGGAACCUAGCACUCCAAAUCACCUAAUCUUGUUCGAAUCUUCAAGAAUCAAGGAAGCUAGCCACGAGAUUAUUAUCCAUCCAAGUAAGUCCUACUCCUAGAGCUUUAAUGCAAGAGAUUAAGAGUUCAAAUAUCUGGUAGAGUUAAAUAUAAGCCAUGCAUGUGCACUAGGCUGUAGUAUGUGGAAUUGUCAACUAUUUUUGGGUAGUUUCUUGUUGAAAUUAGUUGAGGAAAGAAG
Molecule: long non-coding RNA, 299 nt
Filed under: Nicotiana benthamiana
Lineage: Eukaryota; Viridiplantae; Streptophyta; Magnoliopsida; Solanales; Solanaceae
Description: long non-coding RNA (NBEN_LNC010987)
Source: RNAcentral